AGUCCAUUACGCGGCGUCCACUGCUCUCUGGAAGCUGAAGUAGGUGGCGAGUUCUGCGCAGGGGCAUAUGGGACCGCCUGAUGAGCCGGAUUGUGGAGACAAAAGGCUGUGAAUACCUCAGCUGGCAGAGAGACAAGCAGGCUGAAGUCAAGAGGAGAAGAAGCAACUGAGCUGGAUACUAGGAGUAGGCGUGGCUUAACUUCAGAUAGCAGGACUUCGGAGAGGAGUCUGGUGGAGAUGGCCUGGCUUCAGGGAAAGAUCACCUUCUUCCCGCAGCAUCCCCUUUCCAGCUCCCCUUCUGCUGAGAGCUACUUCCACCGCUUAAUAAAAUCUCCACAUUCACUA
This is a long non-coding RNA of Symphalangus syndactylus (siamang), 345 nucleotides long. RefSeq lists it as uncharacterized. Lineage: Eukaryota; Metazoa; Chordata; Mammalia; Primates; Hylobatidae. The record is from RefSeq and is a predicted model, not a curated record.